RNAcentral lists this ribosomal RNA (627 nucleotides) under uncultured organism. Its description in RNAcentral is "bacterial SSU rRNA". It matches the Rfam family "Bacterial small subunit ribosomal RNA", at positions 774 to 1413 of the family's 1533-position model. The record is from RNAcentral.
GGGAUUAGAAACCCCGGUAGUCCUAUCUGUAAACGAUGGAUGCUAGAUGUAGGCGGUGUAGAUUCCCUCUGUGUCGUAGCUAACGCGUUAAGCAUCCCGCCUGGGGACUACGCCCGCAAGGCUAAGACUCAAACGAAUUGACGGGGGCCCGCACAAGCAGCGGAGCGUGUGGUUUAAUUCGAUGCUACACGAAGAACCUUACCUGGGCUUGACAUGUAGGUGGUAGCGAAGCGAAAGCGGAGCGACCAUUCGGGGAGCUUACACAGGUGCUGCAUGGCUGUCGUCAGCUCGUGCCGUGAGGUGUCGGGUUAAGUCCCGUAACGAGCGCAACCCCUGCUCUUAGUUAUACGUCUCUAAGGGCACUGCCGGCGGCAAGCCGGAGGACGCUCGGGACGACGUCAAGUCAGCAUGGCCUUUAUGUCCAGGGCUACACACACGCUACAAUGGCCGAUACAAUGGGUUGCGAAACCGCGAGGUGAAGCCAAUCCUCCAAAGUCGGUCUCAGUUCGAAUUGCAGGCUGCAACUCGCAUGCAUGAAGUUGGAGUUGCUAGUAAUCGCAGGUCAGCAAUCCUCCCCUGNAUAUGUUCCCGGGCCUUGACACACCGCCCGUCACGUCAUGGAAGCUG